RNAcentral lists this ribosomal RNA (1463 nucleotides) under Klebsiella aerogenes. Its description in RNAcentral is "bacterial SSU rRNA". It matches the Rfam family "Bacterial small subunit ribosomal RNA". The record is from RNAcentral. Lineage: Bacteria; Pseudomonadati; Pseudomonadota; Gammaproteobacteria; Enterobacterales; Enterobacteriaceae.
CGGCAGGCCUAACACAUGCAAGUCGAGCGGUAGCACAGAGAGCUUGCUCUCGGGUGACGAGCGGCGGACGGGUGAGUAAUGUCUGGGAAACUGCCUGAUGGAGGGGGAUAACUACUGGAAACGGUAGUUAAUACCGCAUAACGUCGCAAGACCAAAGUGGGGGACCUUCGGGCCUCAUGCCAUCAGAUGUGCCCAGAUGGGAUUAGCUAGUAGGUGGGGUAAUGGCUCACCUAGGCGACGAUCCCUAGCUGGUCUGAGAGGAUGACCAGCCACACUGGAACUGAGACACGGUCCAGACUCCUACGGGAGGCAGCAGUGGGGAAUAUUGCACAAUGGGCGCAAGCCUGAUGCAGCCAUGCCGCGUGUAUGAAGAAGGCCUUCGGGUUGUAAAGUACUUUCAGCGAGGAGGAAGGCAUUAAGGUUAAUAACCUUGGCGAUUGACGUUACUCGCAGAAGAAGCACCGGCUAACUCCGUGCCAGCAGCCGCGGUAAUACGGAGGGUGCAAGCGUUAAUCGGAAUUACUGGGCGUAAAGCGCACGCAGGCGGUCUGUCAAGUCGGAUGUGAAAUCCCCGGGCUCGGCCUGGGAACUGCAUUCGAAACUGGCAGGCUAGAGUCUUGUAGAGGGGGGUAGAAUUCCAGGUGUAGCGGUGAAAUGCGUAGAGAUCUGGAGGAAUACCGGUGGCGAAGGCGGCCCCCUGGACAAAGACUGACGCUCAGGUGCGAAAGCGUGGGGAGCAAACAGGAUUAGAUACCCUGGUAGUCCACGCCGUAAACGAUGUCGACUUGGAGGUUGUGCCCUUGAGGCGUGGCUUCCGGAGCUAACGCGUUAAGUCGACCGCCUGGGGAGUACGGCCGCAAGGUUAAAACUCAAAUGAAUUGACGGGGGCCCGCACAAGCGGUGGAGCAUGUGGUUUAAUUCGAUGCAACGCGAAGAACCUUACCUACUCUUGACAUCCAGAGAACUUAGCAGAGAUGCUUUGGUGCCUUCGGGAACUCUGAGACAGGUGCUGCAUGGCUGUCGUCAGCUCGUGUUGUGAAAUGUUGGGUUAAGUCCCGCAACGAGCGCAACCCUUAUCCUUUGUUGCCAGCGAUCCGGUCGGGAACUCAAAGGAGACUGCCAGUGAUAAACUGGAGGAAGGUGGGGAUGACGUCAAGUCAUCAUGGCCCUUACGAGUAGGGCUACACACGUGCUACAAUGGCAUAUACAAAGAGAAGCGACCUCGCGAGAGCAAGCGGACCUCAUAAAGUAUGUCGUAGUCCGGAUUGGAGUCUGCAACUCGACUCCAUGAAGUCGGAAUCGCUAGUAAUCGUAGAUCAGAAUGCUACGGUGAAUACGUUCCCGGGCCUUGUACACACCGCCCGUCACACCAUGGGAGUGGGUUGCAAAAGAAGUAGGUAGCUUAACCUUCGGGAGGGCGCUUACCACUUUGUGAUUCAUGACUGGGGUGAAGUCGUAACAAG